RNAcentral lists this small RNA (53 nucleotides) under Arabidopsis thaliana (thale cress). RNAcentral describes it as "ATSL218670". The record is from RNAcentral. Lineage: Eukaryota; Viridiplantae; Streptophyta; Magnoliopsida; Brassicales; Brassicaceae.
CUUAUGGACGAGCAAGAUGAAGAUGGUAGGACUUGUCUUUCAUACGGAGCAUC